Zophobas morio is the source of this 445-nucleotide long non-coding RNA. RefSeq lists it as uncharacterized. The transcript has 5 exons. The record is from RefSeq and is a predicted model, not a curated record. Lineage: Eukaryota; Metazoa; Arthropoda; Insecta; Coleoptera; Tenebrionidae.
UUGCUGUAGUUUUGUUACGAGCUUCAAAGCUCAAGUAAUAUGACUUUGACUGUUAUUACUUUAAACUCCUUUAAAAGAAUUUGGGGACGUUAUACUGGUUUUGGUUUUCAUACUCAUAAAAGUACUUUUUCUAUUGGAAGAACUCUUUCGCCUAAACUGCAUUUAAGGAAUUUACAUCCCGAGUCCUCUACAUGCGAAGUAAACAAGCCAAUUCCUUUUUCUAAAACUAAAGCCGCUUCCUUUAACAUAACCGAUUUAACUAAAAGCGACCGCGAAAAAAGAAGAAUUAAUUGGGCCGGUUGGCUAAACAUUUCAAUAUUGCUGCUUGUUUGUUAUUGUAUGUACUACGGCCAAGAUCCUGACUGCGAUCUUUUUCCUUUCAUAACAAAGUUUGUUAAAACCGAUUUGGAGCCUGAAAUUUUAUUUAAUAAACGGGAAUAAAAGG